UACCCAAAUCACAAGCCAUAUAAAGGUACUCGGUCCUAAUUUCAGGACCCAAUAUAGCACGUCAAGUAGAUGGUAUCAAUUAGGUCUGUGGGACGGGGAGGCAUCUCAACCUUAAGGACAGGGGGCUUGUUACUUGAAGUUAAAAUAGGGUUGCUUGGUUCCCCUAUAGCCCUGUCUGAAUCGAAGAAAUGGGUGAUCCACACUUUAGGGCCUCCUUAAAGAGAAGCCAACUUCCAAAACUCCUUGAAUGGCCUUCUCAAGGCUGUCGGCUUUCAAAGGCCGGGAUAAACUUUAUCCUCAAGUAUGAUGUCAUUAUCUGGGAUAAACUCCUCAUAACGAUCUCCAAGAAGGGAAAGAUCGUCAAUGAAAUGAAGAUCCAAGAGAGACAUGACGGCCUCCCCAUGGUCAAAGAAGUUGGUGUUUUUCGCUCAACACUAGGUCUCCAAGUAUGCCCUCACCACGUUAGUGUAACGAUCAUAUGGCUAGGUCAAACAUUCGCAGGCGCCUAAGAGUUCUGUGCUUAUGAGAUCAUUUUAGAAGCUGCUCUCUUCCUCACAUCUAAACUUGAGGGAUCCUGUCAGGCAGUACGCUUGGCAAUUUGAUGUGCAAGUAUAGGAAAUAUUCUAUUCCAACGACAAUUUUAUACUCAUAAUGGAGAAGGAGGCUUUAUGGAGGAAGACCCCGAUGAUAAUCCUUGCUAAACUUGGCAAGGCCAAGAGGCUCGAUCAAAUAAUUGAUAGAAAGGGGCCAUCUUAGAUAUUCAUUGACAUUGCCGUCAGCUUGGCAUACGGGUCUAUGACGAGCUAAUUCAACCCCGGUGCACUUUUCCCACCAAUCCUCUACUCCUUUCGGAAUUUCUUGGGACACAUGACAUCUAAAAUAGGAGAAAAGAGUUUCAUUUAAUCGGAACUUAUCUGCAUAUCAUUCAUAUUGGUCUAAGGCUCUGACCAACUACCGAUGCCUGUCAUGGCUUAAGUCGAAAGUCUGACCUUACAUUUCUCAUAUAUUGGGUUAAGAAUCUAACUGAUCAUUGAUGUUUGUCACAGUCACACACACACACACACACACACACACACGCUCACACACACAUACUCGCACUCACACUCACAUUCACACACACUCACACUCACACUCACAGAUAUAUAAGCUAUCACCUCUAAUCUUCUAAGUCUAGACAAAAUUCCAUAUUACUAUGUAUAGAAUUAGGCACAAGAUUGUGUUUCGUCUCUUGAUGAGUUUGGGUAUGCUAAAUACCCAACUAUGAUAGUCCAUGUAAUUUUUUUUCUUAUUUGUACUUGUUUUUAUUAAUAUUGAUGAGCUUCAUUUUCAUCGAGUUUUCUUGUACAUCAACAAGCAUGAAAGCAACUUAUCAUCGAGCCGGAUCUCUUUUCGUUAUUUGAUAUUUGAGAUCUUGAUCUUGCAAGCUUGAUUUGCUUAACGGUUCUUUCUUCUCUAGUUUAUUUCUGCUCUUGCUUCUUUCAUGCAAAUAUGGAGUGAAUUUGCUGGCGCUUUACUUGUGGUUUGCAAUUUUAUUAAGUAACGUUUUCUUAACACACACACUCUCGCUUCUUUCAUGCAAAUAUAGAGUGAAUUUUCUGAAGCUUUACUUGUGGUUUGCUGUUUUAUUAAUUAAAAUUUUCUUAACACACACGCUCUUGCUUCUUUCAUGCAAAUAUGGAGUGAAUUUUCUGGAGCUUUACUUGUGGUUUGCGAUUUUAUUAACUUUUUUUUAACACACACACUCUUGCUUCUUUCAUGCAAAUAUGGAGUGAAUUUUCUGAAGCUUUACUUGUGGUUUGCAAUUUUAUUAUGCAACUUUUUCUUAACACACACAUACACGCAUGCACACCAAACACACACACUCACGCUAAUGCAUAAGGAUGGGUUUAUAUAUACACUAAUGUAUAAGACCAUGUAUAUACUUAUUUUCAAUGAUAUAUACAAUUAUUAGCUCAAUUUGUGUACGUAUUUAUGUAUAGCAAUAUAUACCACCGUUUUUCGAGUGUAUAUAUAUAUACUGAUGCAUAUAACCAUACAAUACAUUAGUUAUCCGCUAUAUAUACAAUUAGUGUGUAAAAAUACAUUUAUAUGUGUGUGUGUGUGAUGAUUAUACGAUGUGUAUAUUCGGAUUUGUGUAUAUGUAAAGUACAUAAUUGUAUAUAU
This 2163-nucleotide long non-coding RNA is filed under the name Amborella trichopoda. Its description in RNAcentral is "long non-coding RNA (ATRI_LNC001216)". The record is from RNAcentral. Lineage: Eukaryota; Viridiplantae; Streptophyta; Magnoliopsida; Amborellales; Amborellaceae.